This 515-nucleotide ribosomal RNA is filed under the name uncultured bacterium. Its description in RNAcentral is "bacterial SSU rRNA". It matches the Rfam family "Bacterial small subunit ribosomal RNA", at positions 791 to 1306 of the family's 1533-position model. The record is from RNAcentral.
UAGUCCACGCCGUAAACGAUGGUCACUAGCUGUUCGGACUUCGGUCUGAGUGGCUAAGCGAAAGUGAUAAGUGACCCACCUGGGGAGUACGUUCGCAAGAAUGAAACUCAAAGGAAUUGACGGGGGCCCGCACAAGCGGUGGAGCAUGUGGUUUAAUUCGAUGAUACGCGAGGAACCUUACCAGGGCUUAAAUGUAGAGUGACAGGACUAGAGAUAGUUUUUUCUUCGGACACUUUACAAGGUGCUGCAUGGUUGUCGUCAGCUCGUGCCGUGAGGUGUCAGGUUAAGUCCUAUAACGAGCGCAACCCCUGUUGUUAGUUGCCAGCGAUUCAAGUCGGGAACUCUAACAAGACUGCCAGUGCAAACUGUGAGGAAGGUGGGGAUGACGUCAAAUCAUCACGGCCCUUACGCCCAGGGGCGACACACGUGCUACAAUGGACGGGUACAGCGGGGUAGCCAACCAGCGAUGGGUGCGGCCAAUCUCUGAAAACCGUUCUCAGUUCGGGAUCGGGAGU